This 150-nucleotide unclassified non-coding RNA is filed under the name uncultured fungus. RNAcentral describes it as "sequence contains ITS1". The stretch from base 1 to 107 matches the Rfam family "5.8S ribosomal RNA", at positions 50 to 154 of the family's 154-position model. Rfam says of the family: 5.8S ribosomal RNA (5.8S rRNA) is a component of the large subunit of the eukaryotic ribosome. It is transcribed by RNA polymerase I as part of the 45S precursor that also contains 18S and 28S rRNA. Lineage: Eukaryota; Fungi. The record is from RNAcentral.
GAAAUGCGAUACUUGGUGUGAAUUGCAGAAUCCCGUGAACCAUCGAGUCUUUGAACGCAAGUUGCGCCCGAAGCCAUUAGGCCGAGGGCACGCCUGCCUGGGUGUCACACAUCGUUUACGGCGUGGACUACCAGGGUAUCUAAUCCGGUU